AUUGAACGCUGGCGGCAUGCUUUACACAUGCAAGUCGAACGGCAGCGCGGGCUUCGGCCUGGGGGCGAGUGGCGAACGGGUGAGUAAUACAUCGGAACGUGCCCAGUAGUGGGGGAUAGCUCGGCGAAAGCCGGAUUAAUACCGCAUACGACCUGAGGGUGAAAGCGGGGGAUCUUCGGACCUCGCGCUAUUGGAGCGGCCGAUGGCAGAUUAGCUAGUUGGUGGGGUAAAGGCCUACCAAGGCGACGAUCUGUAGCUGGUCUGAGAGGACGACCAGCCACACUGGGACUGAGACACGGCCCAGACGCCUACGGGAGGCAGCAGUGGGGAAUUUUGGACAGUGGGGGAAAGCCUGAUCCAGCAAUGCCGCGUGUGUGAUGAAGGCCUUCGGGUUGUAAAGCACUUUUGGCGGGAACGAAAAGGACUGUGCCAAUACCACGGUUCGAUGACGGUACCCGCAGAAUAAGCACCGGCUAACUACGUG
RNAcentral lists this ribosomal RNA (484 nucleotides) under uncultured bacterium. Its description in RNAcentral is "partial 16S ribosomal RNA". It matches the Rfam family "Bacterial small subunit ribosomal RNA", at positions 29 to 507 of the family's 1533-position model. The record is from RNAcentral.